AGAGUUUGAUCAUGGCUCAGGAUGAACGCUAGCUACAGGCUUAACACAUGCAAGUCGAGGGGAAACGACAUCGAAAGCUUGCUUUUGAUGGGCGUCGACCGGCGCACGGGUGAGUAACGCGUAUCCAACCUGCCCAUCACUUGGGGAUAACCUUGCGAAAGUAAGACUAAUACCCAAUGAUAUCUCUAGAAGGCAUCUGAAAGAGAUUAAAGAUUUAUCGGUGAAGGAUGGGCAUGCGUGAUAUUAGGUAGUUGGCGGGGCAACGGCCCACCAAGCCCACGAUAUCUAGGGGUUCUGAGAGGAAGGUCCCCCACAUUGGUACUGAGACACGGACCAAACUCCUACGGGAGCA
RNAcentral lists this ribosomal RNA (352 nucleotides) under uncultured bacterium. RNAcentral describes it as "bacterial SSU rRNA". It matches the Rfam family "Bacterial small subunit ribosomal RNA", at positions 8 to 349 of the family's 1533-position model. The record is from RNAcentral.